GAUGAAUGCUGGCGGCGUGCCUAAUACAUGCAAGUCGAGCGAACAGAUGAGGAGCUUGCUCCUCUGACGUUAGCGGCGGACGGGUGAGUAACACGUGGAUAACCUACCUAUAAGACUGGGAUAACUUCGGGAAACCGGAGCUAAUACCGGAUAAUAUAUUGAACCGCAUGGUUCAAUAGUGAAAGACGGUCUUGCUGUCACUUAUAGAUGGAUCCGCGCCGCAUUAGCUAGUUGGUAAGGUAACGGCUUACCAAGGCAACGAUGCGUAGCCGACCUGAGAGGGUGAUCGGCCACACUGGAACUGAGACACGGUCCAGACUCCUACGGGAGGCAGCAGUAGGGAAUCUUCCGCAAUGCGCGAAAGCCUGACGGAGCAACGCCGCGUGAGUGAUGAAGGUCUUCGGAGCGUAAAACUCUGUUAUUAGGGAAGAACAAAUGUGUAAGUAACUAGGCACGUCUUGACGGUACCUAAUCAGAAAGCCACGGCUAACUACGUG
RNAcentral lists this ribosomal RNA (497 nucleotides) under uncultured bacterium. Its description in RNAcentral is "partial 16S ribosomal RNA". It matches the Rfam family "Bacterial small subunit ribosomal RNA", at positions 28 to 507 of the family's 1533-position model. The record is from RNAcentral.